GGCUACGUAGCUCAGUUGGUUAGAGCACAGCACUCAUAAUGCUGGGGUCACAGGUUCGAAUCCCGUCGUAGCCACCA
Molecule: transfer RNA, 77 nt
Filed under: Sodalis glossinidius str. 'morsitans'
Lineage: Bacteria; Pseudomonadati; Pseudomonadota; Gammaproteobacteria; Enterobacterales; Bruguierivoracaceae
Also listed under: 2 other names
Description: tRNA-Met (CAT) (tRNA-Met-CAT-1-1)
Rfam family: tRNA
About the family: Transfer RNA (tRNA) molecules are approximately 80 nucleotides in length. Their secondary structure includes four short double-helical elements and three loops (D, anti-codon, and T loops).
Source: RNAcentral